This 406-nucleotide ribosomal RNA is filed under the name uncultured bacterium. Its description in RNAcentral is "bacterial SSU rRNA". It matches the Rfam family "Bacterial small subunit ribosomal RNA", at positions 9 to 420 of the family's 1533-position model. The record is from RNAcentral.
GAGUUUGAUCGUGGCUCAGGACGAACGCUGGCGGCGUGCUUAACACAUGCAAGUCGAGCGGUAAGGCCCUUCGGGGUACACGAGCGGCGAACGGGUGAGUAACACGUGGGUGACCUGCCCUCAGCUCUGGGAUAAGCCCGGGAAACUGGGUCUAAUACCGGAUAUGACCACAUGUCGCAUGGUGUGUGGUGGAAAGUUUUUCGGCUGGGGAUGGGCCCGCGGCCUAUCAGCUUGUUGGUGGGGUGAUGGCCUACCAAGGCGACGACGGGUAGCCGGCCUGAGAGGGCGACCGGCCACACUGGGACUGAGACACGGCCCAGACUCCUACGGGAGGCAGCAGUGGGGAAUAUUGCGCAAUGGGCGAAAGCCUGACGCAGCGACGCCGCGUGGGGGAUGACGGCCUCGG